CCAAACAGACCUGCAUAUCACAAGAACUCCACAAUGAGCUCUUCCAUGAUCGCUGUAACAUUACUGUUUUCAACCUUAUUGGGUAAGAGUGUUGGAAACUCUAUUACCCCAGUCACUGCAGUAAAGUAUGCAACAGAAGGAGAAAAUGUUGAGCUCACCUGCAAGUACGAUGGAACAGACUACGGUCUGCACUGGUAUCGCCAAUUCUCUUACACAGUGCCACAGUUUCUCAUUCUGGAAUAUCGAGGCUUCAUAACCAAUGCAACUCCUCCUGUUGUUGGGAUAUCAAUGAAACAUGACAAGACAGCGCAGCAAGUUUCUCUGGAGAUCUCAUCUGCUAAAGUGUCAGACUCUGCUGUCUACUACUGCGCCCUGCAGCCCACAGUGUCAGGAAACCCAGCUGUGCCCAACAAAAACCCUCACAGCUAA
This is a non-coding RNA of Sardina pilchardus (European sardine), 429 nucleotides long. The record is from the annotation of a RefSeq genome assembly. Lineage: Eukaryota; Metazoa; Chordata; Actinopteri; Clupeiformes; Clupeidae.